RNAcentral lists this non-coding RNA (845 nucleotides) under Amphiprion allardi (twobar anemonefish). RNAcentral's name for it is "partial small subunit ribosomal RNA". It matches the Rfam family "Bacterial small subunit ribosomal RNA". The record is from RNAcentral. Lineage: Eukaryota; Metazoa; Chordata; Actinopteri; Pomacentridae.
CAAAGGCUUGGUCCUGACUUUACUGUCGGCUCUAGCUAGACUUACACAUGCAAGUAUCCGCACCCCUGUGAGAAUGCCCUCCAGUCUCCCGCCCGGAGACAAGGAGCCGGUAUCAGGCACGGUUAACACCAGCCCAUGACACCUUGCUUAGCCACACCCUCAAGGGACACCAGCAGUGAUAAAUAUUAAGCUAUAAGUGAAAACUUGACUUAGUCAAAGCUUAGAGGGCCGGUAAAACUCGUGCCAGCCACCGCGGUUAUACGAGAGGCCCAAGUUGACAGACUACGGCGUAAAGAGUGGUUAGGGAAACUUUUAAACUAAGGCCGAACGUCCUCAAAGCUGUUUAACGCUUCCGAGUUAAGAAGAUCCAUUACGAAAGUAGCCUUACCCAACCUGACCCCACGAAAGCUGUGAAACAAACUGGGAUUAGAUACCCCACUAUGCUCAGCCCUAAAAUUUGAUAGGCCAACUACGCCCCCUAUCCGCCCGGGUACUACGAGCAUCAGCUUAAAACCCAAAGGACUUGGCGGUGCUUCACAUCCGUCUAGAGGAGCCUGUUCUAGAACCGAUAACCCCCGUUAAACCUCACCCUCCCUUGUUAAUACCGCCUAUAUACCGCCGUCGUCAGCCUACCCUGUGAAGGACUAGAAGUGAGCAAGAUUGGUAAGACCCAAAACGUCAGGUCGAGGUGUAGUGUAUGAGAGGGGAAGAAAUGGGCUACAUUUCCUAAAUCAGGAAAUACGAACAAUGAACUGAAAUGAGCAUUAGAAGGUGGAUUUAGCAGUAAGCAGUAAAACAGAGUGUUCUGCUGAAAUUUGGCAAUAAAGCACGCACACACCGCCCGU